GAUGAACGCUGGCGGCGUGCCUAAUACAUGCAAGUCGAGCGAACAGAUGAGGAGCUUGCUCCUCUGACGUUAGCGGCGGACGGGUGAGUAACACGUGGAUCACCUACCUAUAAGACUGGGAUAACUACGGGAAACCGGAGCUAAUACCGGAUAAUAUAUUGAACCGCAUGGUUCAAUAGUGAAAGACGGUUUUGCUGUCACUUAUAGAUGGAUCUGCGCCGCAUUAGCUAGUUGGUAAGGUAACGGCUUACCAAGGCAACGAUGCGUAGCCGACCUGAGAGGGUGAUCGGCCACACUGGAACUGAGACACGGUCCAGACUCCUACGGGAGGCAGCAGUAGGGAAUCUUCCGCAAUGGGCGAAAGCCUGACGGAGCAACGCCGCGUGAGUGAUGAAGGUCUUCGGAUCGUAAAACUCUGUUAUUAGGGAAGAACAAAUGUGUAAGUAACUAUGCACGUCUUGACGGUACCUAAUCAGAAAGCCACGGCUAACUACGUG
This 497-nucleotide ribosomal RNA is filed under the name uncultured bacterium. RNAcentral describes it as "partial 16S ribosomal RNA". It matches the Rfam family "Bacterial small subunit ribosomal RNA", at positions 28 to 507 of the family's 1533-position model. The record is from RNAcentral.